ACCUGAUCCAGCACACCAUUCCACUUCUGUGUGGUCAGGAAGAGAUAUUUGGAUGGAUGUGGUCAGUGGGCAUCUGGACUGAAAUAGCUGAAGUCGAGGAGCUUGGAGAAUGGAAAUAGGACAAAAGGUCGGGAAACAGACUUUAUGGACUGUGGGUAUAUUUUAGACUCUGGAAACCUGUGGAGCUGGAAAUGCUAUCCAGAGCGAUUUGCAUGAGCAUGUGACCCCACCAGCACAGUCUCAGAGCCUAGAAGACUUUGAUCAUUAAUCCCACUUUUCCACUUUGAAAAUCACCAAAAUUCAAACAGGUACACAGUCAUGCAAAUGUACAGUACUUCCGAAGGAGGACCACCAUCACCUGGCAUUCCUGCCUGUCUCCGGGUUUGCUGUUGUGCAAUCUGAAUGAAGCAACUGAGGGCGAUUUCCAGGACUGGUGAUUAUGAUGAUUAGUUACCAGUGCGCUCUGUGGGCUGCUUCUGAGAGAAGACAGAUUUCCAGCCUGGCCUUGACAUGGGUUGGCCCCUCCCCGACUCUAAUUACCCUUUCCAGUAACAGUAAUGGUACUGAGAACUGAAGCCUUCUUUUGCCUCUUCCUUUAUAAUGAAUUACUUCGAAUUCCACCAGAUCUAUCCUUUGCAAAGCUAAUUUACUUUAAGGGGUUGCUGGAUGCCCAAAAAGAGAACCAUAGCUUAGAGACAUAGGUUUGGGGCAAGAUUCUGGUAUGAAGCCCAAGGAGUGGGAGGAGUGUGUGUCCAUCUCAAGUCCCAGGAGGCAGAGGGCUUUGUUUUGUGCCUAGAUUUGUGCCAUUCAACCACAGGUGGUCUCCAUACCUCUAGCUCCCUCUGGGAGCUCGACCUGGCUCCCUUUCAAAGCCAGGUGAAAAUGUGUUGUGAGCUGUUCCUUAAUGGUUUGAGGUUUGGCACAGCGAUGCUUUUACUUUUCAACAAGUGUUAAAAGUGGAAAAGUGGAA
This is a long non-coding RNA of Zalophus californianus (California sea lion), 970 nucleotides long. RefSeq lists it as uncharacterized. Lineage: Eukaryota; Metazoa; Chordata; Mammalia; Carnivora; Otariidae. The transcript has 3 exons. The record is from RefSeq and is a predicted model, not a curated record.